UACGUAGGGGGCGAGCGUUGUCCGGAGUUACUGGGCGUAAAGCGCACGCAGGCGGUCUGCUAAGUUUGGAGUGACAGUUGGUGGCUUAACUGCCAAAGUGCUUCGAAAACUGACAGACUUGAGGGCUUCAGAGGGACACGGAAUUCCGGGUGGAGUGGUGAAAUGCGUAGAGAUCCGGAGGAACACCAGUGGCGAAGGCGACACGCUGGGCCGUACCUGACACUGAUGCGCGACAGCAUGGGGAGCAAACAGG
RNAcentral lists this ribosomal RNA (253 nucleotides) under uncultured bacterium. RNAcentral describes it as "partial 16S ribosomal RNA". It matches the Rfam family "Bacterial small subunit ribosomal RNA", at positions 524 to 776 of the family's 1533-position model. The record is from RNAcentral.